GCCCCGCCCGCUCAGCGCAGGGCCGCAGCCGCCAUGGCCGCGCUGCACGCCAAGGCCGGCGGACCUCCGCAGAUCCCCGAUACCCGGCGGGAGCUGGCCGAGCUGGUGAAGCGCAAACAGGAGCUGGCGGAGACGCUGGCCAACCUGGAGCGGCAGAUCUACGCGUUCGAAGGCAGCUACCUGGAGGACACGCAGAUGUACGGCAACAUCAUCCGCGGAUGGGACCGUUACCUCACCAACCAGAAGAACUCCAACAGCAAAAACGACCGCCGGAACCGCAAGUUUAAGGAGGCUGAGCGGCUCUUCAGCAAAUCCUCGGUCACUUCUGCAGCGGCUGUCAGUGCGUUAGCUGGAGUUCAGGAUCAGCUCAUUGAGAAGCGUGAACCGGGCAGCGGGACGGAAAGCGACACCUCUCCAGACUUCCACAACCAGGAGAACGAACCCAGCCAGGAGGAUGCUGAGGAGCUGGAUGGAUCUGUGCAGGGGGUGAAACCCCAAAAAGCCGCUUCCUCCACUUCUGGGAGCCACCACAGCAGCCACAAAAAACGGAAGAACAAAAAUCGGCACAGAAUAAAGCUGUCUUCCCUGCAGUAGAGGAAGAUUACAGUCCUGGUCUCCUGUGAUUGUUCCUUGGUUUCUACAGAGCCAAGGAAGAUAGGAAUGUCACUGCUUUCUCUGGAGAAGGAGGAUGGGAAAACAACUUAGAGUGUUUUGGGGGCUGCUGACUCUCAGUAUCUUUACUACAUUUUCUACUCCAAACCUUUUCUGUUGUCAUGUCCCAGAGUCGUUUGAUUACAGCGUGUACAAGUUGCUUUAUCAUACAGACCACUAGUUUUUGUUAUUAAACUGCCCUGAAACUCACGUGAAACAGCUCUCCUGAACUCUUUAUGAUUGAAUUUAGGCGACCACUUCUAUUCCUUAAGGCGUGCCUUCAAGGCACAGUGGGCUGACGGCCCAGAAAUUGGGAAUCAUUGAAUUCCAAUGCUGUUUUCCCUGGCUCAGUGUAACCUGCACAUUAGGUAUCAUUACUGAGCUCAUUGGCUUUGGGUCCAGGUGGAGGUUCCUCUUUGAGGAGCCUUCCCAUACAAUUGCAAAUGUUUUAAAUAGCAGCGAUAGAUGUCACAGAGACUGCUGGGAAAAGGUCUGAGAGACACCGAGGUAGGUACAGUGCCUGCAAACUAAUUAACUACUGCUUCUUCUUAGUUAGGUUUUCUGUCAUUAGCAUUUUUAAUUGCUAGGUCAGGAUUUUCUUCCCGCAGCAGCCUUCAUCAGGCACACAUCCCAAAGUGUUGGAUGUCCUUUUUGGUUCCUCCUGAGCUAGGAAUCAGAAGCAGUUCAGAAGUGUUUUUUAGCCUGCAGACAGUUGGGAGGAAGGCCAGAAGUAGCAGAGCACAUCUCUAAACCACUUCAGAGAAGCAUCUGUACAACUGAGGUACAGCAUGAGAGCAGAUUGCAGAGCACUGCUGAACACUUACAUGGAGCACGAAGCAAUCUGCUGCAGGACAGUGGGGGCCAGUGCAAAUGCCAUAAAUAAUAUAAACUCUUUUGCUCCAUUACAUAACCCAAACUGUAGUGAUGAGAGUUAGGAAGAAACUGCCCUACUGGAAGCUUGUGUGGCUUUGGGCUUUCUUCUGCAUGCCUUCCUGUGAAGCAGCUGAUACGGGCUACUGUUGGAGACAGAAUAUUGGACAUGAGGAGCCCUGGUCUGCACUGGUAUGGCAAUUCUUAUCAUCCUAAGAGAUGCAUCCAAGUACAGAAAGGAUUUUGCAGAUAUUGUGUAAUGCUUAACAAGGCCAGGUAGUGGAAAGUAAUUACGUUGGUCUGCAAUGCAAACUGUUAGAAGUUGUGAUUGCUGCUAACGACUGUCCCCUAAAUUUCAGCAGAAGAGCCCAAAUGAUCUUCAAGGUUUGAACCAAACAAAAGCCAGUCCCAAUCUUUUUAAUGGCACAGCUCAUUCAGAAGCUCUUUCAUUUCCAGCAUGCAUUUGAGUUCUGCUCACCUGUUCCUGAAGGACUGGGAGGUGCUGGGAAUGGAUGCUCUGAAGGUGCACUGAUUCCACGUAGCUCCAGUUUUUCUCACUCUUGUGCCACCAGUGGCAGCGAGGAGAGUUGGAUUCAGAUUGAGCAGAGCUUGUGUGAAUAGUUGGUUUAAUUCCUGACCAUUAAAGCAGGAGCUCACGUGGCAGUGUUUUAUUGAAGCCACCCUCUGUUCCCUCAGACCGCAGAAGGCCCAGAUGAUGAUUCUCAUGGCUAAAAAGUGUUUCAGGUGAAAACAGCCCUCCUUCCUCUUAGAGACCCAGCGCUGAGAAGCGCCAAGCAGAGCAGUGAGCUUUGGGGCAGAGCGCAGUGCCAUCAGUGUUGGGUGCUGACAGGUGGGGUGGGAAUGCAGCAAGCCAUGGUUGGACUUGAGAGCUCCCAAAGGGAUGUUUGGGUGCAAGGGGAGAUGGGCGUGCAUUGAGGGAGCAUCGAGCGCCUGCGUGGCCACGUAGCUUCAUGGUUGUCUCCACCUCUGCCUGAACAAGCUUUGCUUUGCUCAGUAAUCUAGCCAAAGCCACUGCUUCCUGAGCACCCGUUGGGUUCUGUGAGCAAAUCCGUGCUUUGAUCUGUGAGCUCUGCAGCCCUCAGCACGCAGCGUAACACCGCUCCUAACACCUCCAUCCCCACCAUCCACCUGGGGCUGGGACUCUGUCAGAUCUGCAGUGCUUCUUAUGUUGUUGUUAUUGUGCCCUGUUCUGGUUCCAGAACCUUCAAGUUACCCUUCAGAACUUUGUGGCGUUUUGAACACUGGCUUUCAUUUGUUUAUUUACUUAUUUAUUUGUAGUAUUCUCGCUAGGGUGGCUAAUCGACUAAUUUAUUUAAUUCGUUAGUGUAUUAAUUUCUAUUGCUUUCUUCCUUUCAAAUGCUGCCCCUCAGCCCGUCUGGCAUGUUUGAUUAUGACUUUGAGUAAGUUUGACUUGAAUUAGUACUUGUGCUGUGUUGUUAGUGUGUAGACACCAAUGUGCCUUUUGAGACCUUUCUAACCCAUAGUUUAUCUGUUUAAUUGUAGGUAUGUAUAUUAGGUUAGGCUGGGAAGUUUUUUUAAAAAACAGAAAAGCGUGAUGGAGGUAACAUUUUAUUUAAUAACUUCGGCAAAAUUAAAUUAACUUCACUCUCCUUGACCUCUCUGUUCCGUUUUUGAAGUAGAUCAACUCUUUAACUUAAACGUGUCCUUUAAAAACUGAUUCUUCUGGCUUUGCUUCUGAAGGAGAUCAGUGUAGAUUUGGUUGUUUCCUUCUGGACAUCCAUAACCAACUCCGUACCUCUGUCUCCUGUAAUCCCUGCCAUCUUAAACUCCUCUCUCUGUCCCUAGUAAAUAACCCUUGCCACUAUGUCUGGAUAAUUACCUGUGGCAUAGUUACACAUCUAACAAUGAACGUAGAGCAUGCGUGUGUAACAGUAUUCCCUUGUGCUGCACAACUUCCCUGUGAUUUUUAUUAACUCUUUUCCUGAAUGGAACGGAAUAUGCAUUGUGGCAAAGAACAAAGAAUCCACUCUCCUUCUCUUUGCUGUUCUCUUGUAAUGUUGGGACAGUGAUUUGGCUCAGCCCAAUCGAGAAUGUGGAUUGAAUUAACCGAAUAGCCUUUGUGGUAGCCUGUGCCAUAUUCAGUAGCUGGUUCUUUGCAACCUACUGUUUGUGUCGUGUAUUGAAAUGGACGUUUCUCUUAUCUUUCCAACCACAGGAUUGAUCUCAAGUUAAACAAAAAGCCGAGAGCUGACUACUAGACACAUCAGUGCUGAAGAUUCUGGGAUCCGGUCCUACAUGAAUCCCCACCAAGAAUAACUCCAGUCAUCUGAACGAGCACAGUGGCAGCUCUCUGGCCACGUGUGUGCAGAAGGGAGCCAUCCACUCUAACCAACUCAAGGGGGAGAAAGCCUUGGACAUGUCUUUGCAUCAUUUUUAGACACCCUGACUGACAGGAGAUGAAGGUGUAGUAGUAGAAGUCCUCAAUUCCUGGCUAUUCUGUGCUUCCAGCUCAGUCAGGAGCUUCCUUCAAUUGGCUGAUCUUACUGCUGCCUCUGUAAAACCGUGGGGAGGCAUUUCCUUUCCUGCUGGAAUAGGGCUGUGAUUCACUGUGUCCCAUCCACGCUGUAAGACUUAGGUUCCCUUUGUUACUGAGACGUAGCUUUGUGGUUUUGUUUGUUUCUUUGUUGUUUUGUUUUGUUUUUUUAAACCAAAGUGUUUAAUAAAUGGGCUUUUGGUUUGUUUUAAUGCCUGUAGAGAGGAAGGUUCUUCGUUCUGUGGAACAGCUCAGUUUGGUUUGUAGGUAAGCAGAGAACAAAGUGGCCAUCCAGUUUCUCUGACUUUUCUUUUGAAUGCCAUCCCCUGAAGUUGGCACAGUGCUUUUAGAUGCAGAGGAGGCUGGAGCUCAGAGCCACUUUGCUCUCUGCUAUCUUUGACAUUGGGUAGAUUCUCUUUUUAAUACAAACUUCCCUCAUUUGUACAUAAACAAUAAAAGUCACAUUCGUCUCUCA
RNA transcript from Lagopus muta (rock ptarmigan), 4511 nucleotides. It is a transcript of the gene named MYST/Esa1 associated factor 6, with no coding region annotated. Lineage: Eukaryota; Metazoa; Chordata; Aves; Galliformes; Phasianidae. The transcript has 7 exons. The record is from RefSeq and is a predicted model, not a curated record.